Molecule: long non-coding RNA, 824 nt
Organism: Sinocyclocheilus anshuiensis
Lineage: Eukaryota; Metazoa; Chordata; Actinopteri; Cypriniformes; Cyprinidae
Exons: 3
Source: RefSeq, a predicted model, not a curated record
AUUAUGCUGAGCAGGGAUGGGCACAUUUGAAAUGGCACAUUUUAAAUAAAAUGCACUUACCUCUGUGAAAUGAAGGAGACGUCAAAGGGGCACAACUCAAAAAGUGGCGCUCAAGCUGGCAGAUGUCACGUGAGUAAUCUGAUUGGUUGAUCAAUUUUACCUUAAGCACCUCCCUUGUUGACCCAGGAACGCGUCUAACUCGGCAGAAUCAGGACGUGCGACAGGGCAAUCACAGCAACAGACAUGAAGACUGCAUGUCUCCCGCAAGGAACAUAAUCUUCAACUAAUUUACCAAAUCGAGUCCAGGCUGAGGUCAAGCUACAAGUUUCUUUUUUUUGAUCAUCAACUCCAAAAGCCAAAAGUUAGAACAAAGGAAAAACGUAUCCAGCUUCUCUCCACACACACCAACAAAAGAGAAUCAAAGUUCCUUUGUUCCCAGCUCAUCAUUAGCUUUUUUCCUUCACUCCCAACAGCUGUGUCUCCCCCGCUGAGGAACAUGGUAACUGUAGUUCGGGACCAGGUGGCCAUCUUGGUUUGUAGUCCCCAUGCUGCAGCCAUCUAGAUGGCACAUACCGUCCCUCUAUGACACACCUCAGGAUGCCACAGAAGAAAUUAGGGUGGUGAAUAAAAUAAUAUUAUUCAUAUUUUUUAAUUAAUUUUCAUAUUUGAAUAUUUAAAGAGCCAAGAGUAUUAGUAAAAUAUACACUGUAAGAGAAAAAAAAUCUAUACAGAAAAUUCCUUCAUAUUAACACAGUACACUGCACACUAUUUUUACGGACUUAACCUUUAUAUGAUGGGAAAAAUGAAAUCUGUUGAAUAAAAUG